GAACAUGCUGGAAAGCAUGGCCAUAGCGGGUGACAGCCCCGUAUUCCAAGCUCGAUGGAACGUAUUAAGUAGGGCGGAACACGUGAAAUCCUGUCUGAACAUGGGGGGACCACCCUCCAAGCCUAAAUACUCGUACAUGACCGAUAGCGAACACAGUACCGUGAGGGAAAGGUGAAAAGUACUCCGAAUAGGAGGGUGAAAUAGAACCUGAAACCGUGCGCUUACAAGCGGUCGGAGCGGAGCGAUUCCGUGACGGCGUGCCUUUUGCAUAAUGAGCCUACGA
RNAcentral lists this ribosomal RNA (283 nucleotides) under Heterosigma akashiwo. RNAcentral describes it as "partial Bacterial large subunit ribosomal RNA". It matches the Rfam family "Bacterial large subunit ribosomal RNA", at positions 335 to 626 of the family's 2925-position model. Lineage: Eukaryota; Raphidophyceae; Chattonellales; Chattonellaceae. The record is from RNAcentral.